RNAcentral lists this ribosomal RNA (480 nucleotides) under Bacillus sp. SF170. Its description in RNAcentral is "bacterial SSU rRNA". It matches the Rfam family "Bacterial small subunit ribosomal RNA", at positions 60 to 509 of the family's 1533-position model. The record is from RNAcentral. Lineage: Bacteria; Bacillati; Bacillota; Bacilli; Caryophanales; Bacillaceae.
AGUCGAGCGCAGGAAACCAGAUGACCCCUUCGGGGUGAUUCUGGUGGAAUGAGCGGCGGACGGGUGAGUAACACGUGGGCAACCUGCCUGUAAGACUGGGAUAACUUCGGGAAACCGGAGCUAAUACCGGAUAGUAUUUCCUUUCUCCUGAUUGGAAAUGGAAAGACGGUUUCGGCUGUCACUUACAGAUGGGCCCGCGGUGCAUUAGCUAGUUGGUGGGGUAAUGGCCCACCAAGGCGACGAUGCAUAGCCGACCUGAGAGGGUGAUCGGCCACACUGGGACUGAGACACGGCCCAGACUCCUACGGGAGGCAGCAGUAGGGAAUCUUCCGCAAUGGACGAAAGUCUGACGGAGCAACGCCGCGUGAGCGAUGAAGGCCUUCGGGUCGUAAAGCUCUGUUGUUAGGGAAGAACAAGUACGAGAGUAACUGCUCGUACCUUGACGGUACCUAACCAGAAAGCCCCGGCUAACUACGUGCC